UUAGUGAUAAAAGUAUUAAUAUGUUGAAACAGUUUGCAUCACGAGAAGAAGUGGUUUAAUAUCAUUGAAACAGUUUGUAUCACGCGAAGAAGUGGUUUUACGAGAAACGAAAGAGUUUGUAUCAUGCGAAGAAGUAGACGAAAGAUUUAUUUUAGUUAAAAUAGUCAACACAAACAAAUCGAUUAUUUUGCUGAGAGUUUUGCAUGAAAUUUUGGUUGAUGUGGUCAGAUGGAUAUAUGCAAUAUUUUUUAUCUUUUUUUCUGGAGUCACUACUUUUUCCGGAACAAUUUAAUAAGGUGAUUUUUAAUAGAAUACUAUUAUAUUAAAUGUAAAAAUUUUAAAUAGUAACAAAUUGAUUUAUAUGUAGAUUUUACAAACAUACAAAGUAGUUGUAACGUAUUUCAAACUGUGAUAAUACUUCAUGGGUAUGAUAAUAUAAAUUUUUGAAAGAUUUUGCAUUAAAGUUUUAUUUCCAGACUAAUAUAUUAAUUCGCUUUUUAGAGUAAGUAAGAUAUAUUCUGAUUAAAAACAAUGCUUCAUUAAACAAUGAAGAUGCAUAAAGAUGACAAAUGUCCUGUGAUGCAGAAACACCCUAGUUAUAACUAAUAACAUUAAAUCUACUGUAUAAUUGGCGAACUGUAUACCGACAUGCUUCG
Molecule: non-coding RNA, 656 nt
Organism: Hydra vulgaris (swiftwater hydra)
Lineage: Eukaryota; Metazoa; Cnidaria; Hydrozoa; Anthoathecata; Hydridae
Source: RefSeq, a predicted model, not a curated record